This 532-nucleotide ribosomal RNA is filed under the name uncultured bacterium. Its description in RNAcentral is "bacterial SSU rRNA". It matches the Rfam family "Bacterial small subunit ribosomal RNA", at positions 8 to 532 of the family's 1533-position model. The record is from RNAcentral.
AGAGUUUGAUCCUGGCUCAGGAUGAACGCUAGCUACAGGCUUAACACAUGCAAGUCGAGGGGCAGCACAAGGCAGCAAUGCUGAGGUGGCGACCGGCGCACGGGUGCGUAACGCGUAUCCAACCUUCCCGUUACUCUUGGAUAGCCUUCCGAAAGGGAGAUUAAUACAAGAUGGUGUUGAAAUUCCGCAUGUUAUUUCAACUAAAGAUUUAUCGGUAACGGAUGGGGAUGCGUGACAUUAGAUAGAUGGCGGGGUAACGGCCCACCAUGUCCACGAUGUCUAGGGGUUCUGAGAGGAAGGUCCCCCACACUGGAACUGAGACACGGUCCAGACUCCUACGGGAGGCAGCAGUGAGGAAUAUUGGUCAAUGGCCGGAAGGCUGAACCAGCCAAGUAGCGUGAAGGAUGAAGGUUCUAUGGAUUGUAAACUUCUUUUAUACGGGAAUAAAACCUCCCACGUGUGGGAGCUUGUAUGNNNCGUAUGAAUAAGCAUCGGCUAACUCCGUGCCAGCAGCCGCGGUAAGAUCUGCUGU